This 559-nucleotide ribosomal RNA is filed under the name Trichoderma asperellum. RNAcentral describes it as "eukaryotic LSU rRNA". The stretch from base 196 to 343 matches the Rfam family "5.8S ribosomal RNA". Lineage: Eukaryota; Fungi; Ascomycota; Sordariomycetes; Hypocreales; Hypocreaceae. The record is from RNAcentral.
GGGCUUCUUAGCAUUGGGAAUUUACCUAGUUACACUCCCAACCCAAUGUGAAGUUACAAACUGUUGCCUCGGCGGGGUCAGCCCCGGGUGCGUCGCAGCCCCGGUUCCGGCGCCCGCCGGAGGUUCCAACCAAACUCUUUCCUAGUCCCCUCGCGGACGUAUUUCUUUAAGCUCCAGCAAAAAUUCAAAACUUUCAAAAUUUCAAUACGGUUCUCUCGGUUUGGCAUCGAUGAAGAUCGCAGCGAGUGCGAUAAGUAACUGUUUUGCAGAUUCAGUGUUUCAUCGAAUCUUUGAACGACAUUGCGUUGCCAGUAUUCUGGCGGGCAUGCCUGUCCGCGCGUAUUUCAACCCUCGAACCCCUCCUAAGAUCGGCGUUGGAGAUAAAACUUUUCACACGGGUGUGGCCUCUAAAACAGUGACGGUCUCGCCGCAGCCUCUCCUCGCAGUAGUUUGCACAACUCGCACCGGAAGCGCGGCGCGUCCACGUCCGUAAAAACACCCAACUUUUCUGAAAUGUUUGACCUCGGAUCAGGUAGGGAUACCCCGCCGAAUUUAGACA